UCCUUAGAUGUCCUGGGCCGCACGCGCGCUACACUGAGUGUCUGAGAUACGAGUCUGCCUGGUCCGGCAAGGUCUAGGUAAUCGCUAAAAGACACAUCAUGCUUGGGAUAGAUUAUUGCAAAUAUUAAUCUUGAACGAGGAAUUCCUAGUAAGCGCAAGUCAACAGCUUGCGUUUAUUACGUCCCUGCCCUUUGUACACACCGCCCGUCGCUACUACUGAUUGGAUGUUUAAGCGAGGUUCUCGAACUGCUAGCGACUUAGCUUCGGUGAGGUCGCAGUGUGGGAAGUGAACCUAGCUUUGGUGUCUAGAGGAAGUAAAAGUCGUAACA
RNAcentral lists this ribosomal RNA (329 nucleotides) under uncultured eukaryote. RNAcentral's name for it is "partial 18S ribosomal RNA". It matches the Rfam family "Eukaryotic small subunit ribosomal RNA", at positions 1470 to 1796 of the family's 1831-position model. The record is from RNAcentral.